GACGAACGCUGGCGGCGUGCCUAAUACAUGCAAGUAGAACGCUGAAGAGAGGAGCUUGCUCUUCUUGGAUGAGUUGCGAACGGGUGAGUAACGCGUAGGUAACCUGCCUGGUAGCGGGGGAUAACUAUUGGAAACGAUAGCUAAUACCGCAUAAAAUGGAUUAUCGCUUGAUAAUCCAUUGAAAGGUGCAAAUGCAUCACUACCAGAUGGACCUGCGUUGUAUUAGCUAGUUGGUGGGGUAACGGCUCACCAAGGCGACGAUACAUAGCCGACCUGAGAGGGUGAUCGGCCACACUGGGACUGAGACACGGCCCAGACUCCUACGGGAGGCAGCAGUAGGGAAUCUUCGGCAAUGGACGGAAGUCUGACCGAGCAACGCCGCGUGAGUGAAGAAGGUUUUCGGAUCGUAAAGCUCUGUUGUAAGAGAAGAACGAGUGUGAGAGUGGAAAGUUCACACUGUGACGGUAUCUUACCAGAAAGGGACGGCUAACUACGUG
Molecule: ribosomal RNA, 497 nt
Filed under: uncultured bacterium
Lineage: Bacteria
Description: partial 16S ribosomal RNA
Rfam family: Bacterial small subunit ribosomal RNA
Source: RNAcentral